RNAcentral lists this ribosomal RNA (1444 nucleotides) under uncultured organism. RNAcentral describes it as "SSU rRNA". It matches the Rfam family "Bacterial small subunit ribosomal RNA". The record is from RNAcentral.
ACAGGCUUAACACAUGCAAGUCGAGGGGCAUCAGGAAGAAAGCUUGCUUUCUUUGCUGGCGACCGGCGCACGGGUGAGUAACACGUAUCCAACCUGCCCUUUACUCGGGGAUAGCCUUUCGAAAGAAAGAUUAAUACCCGAUAGCAUAAUGAUUCCGCAUGGUUUCAUUAUUAAAGGAUUCCGGUAAAGGAUGGGGAUGCGUUCCAUUAGGUUGUUGGUGAGGUAACGGCCCACCAAGCCUUCGAUGGAUAGGGGUUCUGAGAGGAAGGUCCCCCACAUUGGAACUGAGACACGGUCCAAACUCCUACGGGAGGCAGCAGUGAGGAAUAUUGGUCAAUGGGCGCUAGCCUGAACCAGCCAAGUAGCGUGAAGGAUGAAGGCUCUAUGGGUCGUAAACUUCUUUUAUAUAAGAAUAAAGUGCAGUAUGUAUACUGUUUUGUAUGUAUUAUAUGAAUAAGGAUCGGCUAACUCCGUGCCAGCAGCCGCGGUAAUACGGAGGAUCCGAGCGUUAUCCGGAUUUAUUGGGUUUAAAGGGAGCGUAGGUGGACUGGUAAGUCAGUUGUGAAAGUUUGCGGCUCAACCGUAAAAUUGCAGUUGAUACUGUCAGUCUUGAGUACAGUAGAGGUGGGCGGAAUUCGUGGUGUAGCGGUGAAAUGCUUAGAUAUCACGAAGAACUCCGAUUGCGAAGGCAGCUCACUGGACUGCAACUGACACUGAUGCUCGAAAGUGUGGGUAUCAAACAGGAUUAGAUACCCUGGUAGUCCACACAGUAAACGAUGAAUACUCGCUGUUUGCGAUAUACAGUAAGCGGCCAAGCGAAAGCAUUAAGUAUUCCACCUGGGGAGUACGCCGGCAACGGUGAAACUCAAAGGAAUUGACGGGGGCCCGCACAAGCGGAGGAACAUGUGGUUUAAUUCGAUGAUACGCGAGGAACCUUACCCGGGCUUAAAUUGCAGUGGAAUGAUGUGGAAACAUGUCAGUGAGCAAUCACCGCUGUGAAGGUGCUGCAUGGUUGUCGUCAGCUCGUGCCGUGAGGUGUCGGCUUAAGUGCCAUAACGAGCGCAACCCUUAUCUUUAGUUACUAACAGGUUAUGCUGAGGACUCUGGAGAGACUGCCGUCGUAAGAUGUGAGGAAGGUGGGGAUGACGUCAAAUCAGCACGGCCCUUACGUCCGGGGCUACACACGUGUUACAAUGGGGGGUACAGAAGGCAGCUAGCGGGUGACCGUAUGCUAAUCCCAAAAGUCUCUCUCAGUUCGGAUCGAAGUCUGCAACCCGACUUCGUGAAGCUGGAUUCGCUAGUAAUCGCGCAUCAGCCACGGCGCGGUGAAUACGUUCCCGGGCCUUGUACACACCGCCCGUCAAGCCAUGGGAGCCGGGGGUACCUGAAGUACGUAACCGCAAGGAUCGUCCUAGGGUAAAACUGGUGACUGGGGCUAAGUCAU